AUUGAACGCUGGCGGCAUGCCUUACACAUGCAAGUCGAACGGCAGCACGGGUGCUUGCACCUGGUGGCGAGUGGCGAACGGGUGAGUAAUACAUCGGAACAUGUCCUGUAGUGGGGGAUAGCCCGGCGAAAGCCGGAUUAAUACCGCAUACGAUCUACGGAUGAAAGCGGGGGACCUUCGGGCCUCGCGCUAUAGGGUUGGCCGAUGGCUGAUUAGCUAGUUGGUGGGGUAAAGGCCUACCAAGGCGACGAUCAGUAGCUGGUCUGAGAGGACGACCAGCCACACUGGGACUGAGACACGGCCCAGACUCCUACGGGAGGCAGCAGUGGGGAAUUUUGGACAAUGGGCGAAAGCCUGAUCCAGCAAUGCCGCGUGUGUGAAGAAGGCCUUCGGGUUGUAAAGCACUUUUGUCCGGAAAGAAAACCUUGGCCCUAAUACGGUCGGGGGAUGACGGUACCGGAAGAAUAAGCACCGGCUAACUACGUG
Molecule: ribosomal RNA, 486 nt
Filed under: uncultured bacterium
Lineage: Bacteria
Description: partial 16S ribosomal RNA
Rfam family: Bacterial small subunit ribosomal RNA
Source: RNAcentral